CGCGUAGGCGGUUUGAUAAGUCAGAUGUGAAAGCCCACGGCUUAACCGUGGAAGUGCAUUUGAUACUGUUAGACUUGAGUACCAGAGGGGAAAGUGGAAUUCCCGGUGUAGAGGUGAAAUUCGUAGAUAUCGGGAGGAAUACCGGUGGCGAAGGCGACUUUCUUGGCUGGAUACUGACGCUGAGGCGCGAAAGACGUGGGGAGGCAAACAA
This 211-nucleotide ribosomal RNA is filed under the name uncultured delta proteobacterium. RNAcentral's name for it is "partial 16S ribosomal RNA". It matches the Rfam family "Bacterial small subunit ribosomal RNA", at positions 568 to 775 of the family's 1533-position model. The record is from RNAcentral. Lineage: Bacteria; Deltaproteobacteria.